Molecule: ribosomal RNA, 373 nt
Filed under: Myrcinus tuberosus
Lineage: Eukaryota; Metazoa; Arthropoda; Insecta; Mantodea; Gonypetidae
Description: partial 12S ribosomal RNA
Source: RNAcentral
AUACCCUAUUAUUUUUAGUGUAAAGUAUCAAGCUGGAGUAUUAACAGUUAAGAUCUUGAAACUUAAAGAAUUUGGCGGUAUUAUAGUCUAUUUAGAGGAAUUUGUUGCGUAAUCGAUAGUCCACGUUAAACCUUACUUACUUAAUUUCUUGUAUACCGCUGUUUAUUGAAUCUACUUUCAGGUGAUUUUCUUAAUAACGUAGUAGCUAGAAUUUCAAGUCAAGGUGCAGUAAUAUGUAAGUUGAGCAAUGGGUUACAAUAAGUUUUAUUUAUAUGGAUAAGUUAUUGAAAGAGUAAUAUGAAGGUGGAUUUAAUUGUAAUUGUAUAAAGGUUAUUUAAAUGAUUUCAAGCUCUAUAGUAUGUACACAUCGCCC